RNAcentral lists this ribosomal RNA (777 nucleotides) under Microbacterium sp. RNAcentral describes it as "bacterial SSU rRNA". It matches the Rfam family "Bacterial small subunit ribosomal RNA", at positions 46 to 835 of the family's 1533-position model. Lineage: Bacteria; Bacillati; Actinomycetota; Actinomycetes; Micrococcales; Microbacteriaceae. The record is from RNAcentral.
GCUUAACACAUGCAAGUCGAACGGUGAAGCCAAGCUUGCUUGGUGGAUCAGUGGCGAACGGGUGAGUAACACGUGAGCAACCUGCCCCAGUCUCUGGGAUAACAGUUGGAAACAGCUGCUAAUACCGGAUAUGAACCGCGACCGCAUGGUCAGUGGUUGGAAAGAUUUUUCGGUCUGGGAUGGGCUCGCGGCCUAUCAGCUUGUUGGUGAGGUAAUGGCUCACCAAGGCGUCGACGGGUAGCCGGCCUGAGAGGGUGACCGGCCACACUGGGACUGAGACACGGCCCAGACUCCUACGGGAGGCAGCAGUGGGGAAUAUUGCACAAUGGGCGAAAGCCUGAUGCAGCAACGCCGCGUGAGGGAUGACGGCCUUCGGGUUGUAAACCUCUUUUAGCAGGGAAGAAGCGAAAGUGACGGUACCUGCAGAAAAAGCGCCGGCUAACUACGUGCCAGCAGCCGCGGUAAUACGUAGGGCGCAAGCGUUAUCCGGAAUUAUUGGGCGUAAAGAGCUCGUAGGCGGUUUGUCGCGUCUGCUGUGAAAUCCCGAGGCUCAACCUCGGGCCUGCAGUGGGUACGGGCAGACUAGAGUGCGGUAGGGGAGAUUGGAAUUCCUGGUGUAGCGGUGGAAUGCGCAGAUAUCAGGAGGAACACCGAUGGCGAAGGCAGAUCUCUGGGCCGUAACUGACGCUGAGGAGCGAAAGGGUGGGGAGCAAACAGGCUUAGAUACCCUGGUAGUCCACCCCGUAAACGUUGGGAACUAGUUGUGGGGUCCAUUCC